GCAGGGCCCGGGCCCAUGGCCGCCUCCCCGGCAGAGGCCGACGCCUCCCACCGGCGGCGGGAGAAGCGGCGGCAGCUGGACGCGCGCCGCAGCAAGUGUCGCAUCCGCCUGGGCGGCCACAUGGAGCAGUGGUGCCUCCUCAAGGAGCAGCUGGGCUUCUCCCUGCACUCGCAGCUCGCCAAGUUCCUGCUGGACCGGUACACUUCUUCGGGCUGUGUGCUCUGUGCAGGUCCUAAGCCUUUGCCCCCCAAGGGUCUGCAGUAUCUGGUGCUCCUAUCUCAUGCCCACAGCCAAGAGUGCAGCCUGGUGCCCGGGCUGCGGGGGCCCGGGGGCCGAGAUGGAGGGCUUGUGUGGGAGUGCUCCGCGGGCCACACCUUCUCCUGGGGCCCCUCCUCAGGCCCCACACCUCCAGCGGAGCCCAAGCCAGCCCUCCUUCCAAGUCCUUCCCAGAGAAGCUGGUGCCCAGAGGCCAGGGGUGGGCAGGAGCCUGCAGGUUUGGAAUCUGAACGUGAGGAGAGGACUCAGGAGGCGAGGUUGCCCAGGGGAAUGGGACCCCCACCGGAGUCCUUCCUGCCCCCAGGAGACGAGGGGGAGGAUGAAGAUGAGAGUGAAGAGGAGAUGCUCAGUGAUGCCAGCCCAUGGACCUACAGCUCCUCCUCAGACAACUGUGAGCCAGAUGCCCCCAGGCCGCACCCUUCCCCUGUCACCCAUGCACUUGAGGAAGGAGAGACACCUCUGGCUCCUGCAGCUGCCCCCACUUCUCUUGCUGUGCCACUCUCAUCAGCAUCGCCGCUGGGUUCUGGAGCUCCCCUGUCUGUAGAAGAUGAGGGGAAACCGGAGCUCCGCCAGACCCCUCCGGUGGCCCAGCAAACUGAGGCCCUGGCCAGCCCUGGGAGUCAGGUCCAGUCUGCUCUGGCGGUAGCCUGGGAUGAGGACAGUGCACAGAUUGGCCCCAAGAGAAUUAGGAAAGCUGCCAAAAAGGAGCUGCUGCCUUGUGACUACCCUGGCUGUGGGAGGAUCUUCUCCAACCGCCAGUAUUUGAAUCACCAUAAGAAGUACCAGCACAUCCACCAGAAGUCCUUCUCCUGCCCAGAGCCGGCCUGUGGAAAGUCCUUCAACUUCAAGAAACACCUGAAGGAGCAUGUGAAGCUGCACAGUGAAACUGCGCUGGGCAAGGAGGGACUGGGAACGGCUUUGGGCGCUGGACUGGCAGCCUGGAGUCACUGGAUUAUCAGUGUGACAAGGUAGGGUAUGGUAGGCAGGUCCGUGGCUGGAACUUGGAUGGUUGAAAUUGUGGUGAUGGGGAAUGGAAGUGGUGGUUGAGAAGGAUGGGCUGCUAGGUCAGUGAAUGUCAUGUCACGAAACAGAAGUGAGUGCUGGCCAAGUAGGAAGCAAACUGACGCUAGGAUAGCUGGAGAGCAGGCCAGGGGCCAGUAUUGCAUGGAGCACAGGAGUAAUGGAGUCGAAGGCUGCCGGUGUGUGUAUGUGAUCUGAGGGCAGGGUAUACAGAGUGGUGUUGCAACAGGUCUAAGGGGCACCUUGAGAAGCUUGGAGGUGGGAGGGAGGGUAGGUUCCAGAAAAAAAAUAGAGAGGGGAUUGCUGACAGCCACAGGCCGUUGUUGGGGGCCAGAAUGGAUGUGAUGUGUAGGCUGAGUGGGGACAGUACUCCUGUGGGGGCUGGUGGAUGGGAUGAGGAAGGGCCACAGCCUGGAGAUGGAUGCUGGGGUGUCCCCAUGCCCCCGCAGACACCCGGGACUACAUCUGUGAAUUCUGCGCCCGGUCUUUCCGCACCAGCAGCAACCUGGUCAUCCACCGGCGCAUCCACACUGGAGAGAAGCCGCUGCAGUGUGAGAUCUGCGGCUUCACCUGCCGCCAGAAGGCCUCCCUGAACUGGC
RNA transcript from Myotis myotis, 1895 nucleotides. It is a transcript of the gene named zinc finger protein 692, with no coding region annotated. The record is from RefSeq and is a predicted model, not a curated record. The transcript has 11 exons. NCBI's taxonomy places the organism in Eukaryota, Metazoa, Chordata, Mammalia, Chiroptera, Vespertilionidae.